CCUGAAAUUCCAGAGAUGUUCCCGGGGUUUUUUUCCAUGCCAGAGUUCAGGGGGUUGGGAAUUGUGGGAAUUUCAGGAAUUCUGGAGGAUUUGGGGUUGGUUCCAGGCUGGGCCCCCACGCCAGCCUGGACAGCAUCGUCUGCGCCAACAAGGUACCCGGAAUUCCGUGAAAUUUUGGGAAUUUUGGGAAUUCUGGGGGUUUGUCACUGGUUGGAUCCUGUGGGAUUGAAAUUCUGGGAAUUUCGGGAAUUCUGGGGAUGUUUUAAUGUUGGUUCCAAGCUGGGCCCGAACGCCAGCCUGGACAGCGCCGUCUGCGCCGUCUGCGCCAACAAGGUACCGGAAAUUCCGGGAAUUCCAGAAAAUUCCGGGAAUUCUGGAGGUUUGUUCCUGGUUGGAUCCUGUGGGAUUGAAAUUCUGGGAAAUUUUGGGAAUUCUGGAGAUGUUUUAGGGGUUGGUUCCAAGCUGGGCCCGCACGCCAGCCUGGACAGCGUCGUCUGCGCCAACAAGGUACCCGGAAAUUCCAUGGAAUUCCAGAAAAUUCUGGGAAUUCUGGAGAGGUUCCCAGGGUUUUUUCCAUGCCAGAGUUCAGGGGGUUGGGAAUUGUGGGAAUUUCGGGAAUUCUGGAGACGUCUUAGGGGUUGGUUCCAGGCUGGGGCCGCCAACAAGGUACCGGGAAUUCCGGGAAUUUCUGGGAAUUUUGGGAAUUCUGGAGGUUUGUCACUGGUUGGAUCCUGUGGGAUUGAAAUUCUGGAGAUUUUGGUGGUUCUGGAAGCUCCAGAGCCAUUCCUGGGGCUCUGGUCCCAAC
Molecule: long non-coding RNA, 805 nt
Filed under: Zonotrichia albicollis (white-throated sparrow)
Lineage: Eukaryota; Metazoa; Chordata; Aves; Passeriformes; Passerellidae
Description: lncRNA (ENSZALG00000000274.1)
Source: RNAcentral